AAAUAAGAAACAAUAGUUUGUACUUAGUUUCGACCUAAGAUUAUGAUGAAAUCCAUCCUUAUUUU
Molecule: transfer RNA, 65 nt
Filed under: Aesalus sp. JL-2019
Lineage: Eukaryota; Metazoa; Arthropoda; Insecta; Coleoptera; Lucanidae
Description: tRNA-Arg
Source: RNAcentral